This 253-nucleotide ribosomal RNA is filed under the name uncultured bacterium. Its description in RNAcentral is "partial 16S ribosomal RNA". It matches the Rfam family "Bacterial small subunit ribosomal RNA", at positions 524 to 776 of the family's 1533-position model. The record is from RNAcentral.
UACGUAGGGUGCAAGCGUUGUCCGGAAUUAUUGGGCGUAAAGAGCUCGUAGGCGGUUUGUCGCGUCUGCUGUGAAAUCCCGAGGCUCAACCUCGGGUCUGCAGUGGGUACGGGCAGACUAGAGUGUGGUAGGGGAGAUUGGAAUUCCUGGUGUAGCGGUGGAAUGCGCAGAUAUCAGGAGGAACACCGAUGGCGAAGGCAGAGCUCUGGGCCAUUACUGACGCUGAGGAGCGAAAGCAUGGGGAGCGAACAGG